UGCAUAAUCUCAAAAAGCGGAGGAAAAGAAACUAACAAGGAUUCCCCUAGUACGGCGAGUGAGCGGGAAGAGCUCAAAUUUGAAAUCUAGUAGCCUUCGGCUGCUCGAGUUGUAAUCUAGAGAAGUGUUUUCCGUGCCGGCCCAUGUACAAGUCCCUUGGAACAGGGCGUCAUAGAGGGUGAGAAUCCCGUCCUUGACAUGGACCCCCGGUGCUCUGUGAUACACUUUCAACGAGUCGAGUUGUUUGGGAAUGCAGCUCAAAAUGGGUGGUGAAUUCCAUCUAAAGCUAAAUAUUGGCGAGAGACCGAUAGCGAACAAGUACCGUGAGGGAAAGAUGAAAAGCACUUUGGAAAGAGAGUUAAACAGUACGUGAAAUUGUUGAAAGGGAAACGAUUGAAGUCAGUCAUGCUCUUUGGUAUUUAUAUCAUUGAGUGGGGUCAACAUCAGUUUUGAUCGAUGGAUAAAGGCACUAGGAAGGUAGCACUCUCGGGUGAACUUAUAGCCUAGCGUCAUAUACAUUGAUUGGGACUGAGGAACGCAGCAUGCCUUUAUGGCCGGGAUUCGUCCACGUACAUGCUUAGGAUGUUGACAUAAUGGCUUUAAACGACCCGUCUUGAACCCACGGGACCA
RNAcentral lists this ribosomal RNA (630 nucleotides) under Naganishia diffluens. Its description in RNAcentral is "partial large subunit ribosomal RNA". It matches the Rfam family "Eukaryotic large subunit ribosomal RNA", at positions 34 to 664 of the family's 3401-position model. Lineage: Eukaryota; Fungi; Basidiomycota; Tremellomycetes; Filobasidiales; Filobasidiaceae. The record is from RNAcentral.